GGUGAACGCUGGCGGUAUGGAUAAGGCAUGCAAGUCGAACGGGUUUAGACCCGUGGCAGACGAGGUAGUAACACGUAGGAACGUCCCCGGAAGUCGGGCAUAUUCCGUCGAAAGACGGUGCAAUUCCCGAUGGUCUCGCAAGAGUAAAGAUUUAUCGCUUCCGGAGUGGCCUGCGUUGUAUCAGCUAGUUGGUAGGGUAACGGCCUACCAAGGCUAUGACGCAUAGGGGAGCUGAGAGGCUGACCCCCACCGAUGAGACUGAGACACGGCUCAUACCCCUACGGGGGGCCGCAGCCGAGAAUAUUCGACAAUGGGCGAAAGCCUGAUCGAGCGAUACCGCGUGGUGGAUGAAGUGCUUCGGCACGUAAACAUCUUUUAUCGGGGAAAAAGUUAUUGAUUGACCCGAGGAAUAAGGG
This 416-nucleotide ribosomal RNA is filed under the name uncultured bacterium. RNAcentral describes it as "bacterial SSU rRNA". It matches the Rfam family "Bacterial small subunit ribosomal RNA", at positions 28 to 492 of the family's 1533-position model. The record is from RNAcentral.